UCCCCGAUUGAUUCUGUCGGCGGUUAUAUGCUUAUCUCAAAGGCUAAGCCAUGCAUGUCUAAGUUCAAAUGGCCUUUAAAGGUGAAACCGCGAACGGCUCAUUAUAACAGCUAUUAUAUACUUGAUCUUGAUGUCCUACGUGGAUAACUGUGGUAAUUCUAGAGCUAAUACAUGCACCAAAGCUCCGAGUAAGCUGCACACAUGUGGUGCCGGUGUAGCCGUCAGCCGUGCUU
RNAcentral lists this non-coding RNA (233 nucleotides) under Toxocara canis (dog roundworm). Its description in RNAcentral is "Eukaryotic small subunit ribosomal RNA". It matches the Rfam family "Eukaryotic small subunit ribosomal RNA", at positions 1 to 240 of the family's 1831-position model. The record is from Rfam by way of RNAcentral. Lineage: Eukaryota; Metazoa; Nematoda; Chromadorea; Rhabditida; Toxocaridae.